Molecule: non-coding RNA, 380 nt
Organism: Salvia hispanica
Lineage: Eukaryota; Viridiplantae; Streptophyta; Magnoliopsida; Lamiales; Lamiaceae
Source: RefSeq, a predicted model, not a curated record
UACAACUAAGGUGGAGAUUUGAAGUGGUGUAGCUGCAUUGCAGGAAGGCUAGUAGAGACUGAGCCCAGGCCCACAUCAUAUUAAUCUCUCUCGCCUAGCUCUGCCUCAGCUCAAGUUAGAAGCUCAGGUUAGUUAGGCGGUUGUUCCAAACGGCUAGUUCUGGAAGAUGCAUCCCUUUCUUAUAAGAAAGGGAGGAAGAGCUCUGCAAGAAAGCUGGCGAAAGAAGAACCAGCGGCCAAAUCUAAGAAGAAAAUUAAAGUCCAAGUCGAGGUUAAACACGAAGAUGCAGUUGAAAGACAAAGAGCUGUGUAUUGAGGUCUUCCCCCCUUCUUUCAUGUUCGUGUACGAAAUCAAGAUUAACAACUCAAGAAACAUUCACU